UUUGUAGUCAUUAAGGCAGCCAUGAAACUAGGUGGGUUUACACCCCAGUUCUGCUACCUACUGUGUGAUCUUGAUUUAAUGCAAAACGCUUGACAUCACCAAACCUCAGUUUCCUCAUCUAUAAAAUGGAGCUCGUGUGGGGGAUUAAAUAUGAUGCUGUAUGUAAAGCCUGGCUCAAAUCGUUGCUAUUCUUAGAGUUUAGUGUUUGGGCCAAAUUGCCUCUGCAUAUCCUGCAUAUCCUGUGCUCAGUAUGGUGUGCGCUCUCCAAUGUGGAACUUCUGACAACUGUAAAGGUGAAGGCUGCCCUGGCCAUUUGAUGAGCUUGAGUGCUUUCAGUGAAGCCCCUGGGAAGCUGUGUUCUACAGAAAUGAUGACUCCACCAGUUGAUUAGGGAUGAUGGAAGAAAAACCGGGGAAGCUGUAACUGGAAAAGCCCUACAGGUCUGUUGAUUUUAUUAAACACCCAUGUCAGAGUUUAAGUCCUGUGAUAUUAGGCAAUAGUAUGAAUUAAUCAAGUCCUUAGCCAACUCA
Macaca mulatta (Rhesus monkey) is the source of this 530-nucleotide non-coding RNA. The record is from RefSeq and is a predicted model, not a curated record. Lineage: Eukaryota; Metazoa; Chordata; Mammalia; Primates; Cercopithecidae.